AUUGAACGCUGGCGGCAGGCCUAACACAUGCAAGUCGAGCGGAUGAAGGGAGCUUGCUCCUGGAUUCAGCGGCGGACGGGUGAGUAAUGCCUAGGAAUCUGCCUGGUAGUGGGGGAUAACGUCCGGAAACGGGCGCUAAUACCGCAUACGUCCUGUGGGAGAAAGUGGGGGAUCUUCGGACCUCACGCUAUCAGAUGAGCCUAGGUCGGAUUAGCUAGUUUGUGGGGUAAAGGCCUACCAAGGCGACGAUCCGUAACUGGUCUGAGAGGAUGAUCAGUCACACUGGAACUGAGACACGGUCCAGACUCCUACGGUAGGCAACAGUGGGGAAUCUUGGAGAAUGGGCGAAAGCGUGAUCCAGCCAUGCCGCGUGUGUGAAGAAGGUCUUCGGAUUGUAGAGCACUUUAAGUUGGGAGGAAGGGCAGUAAGUUAAUACCUUGCUGUUUUGACGUUACCAACAGAAUAAGCACCGGCUAACUUCGUG
Molecule: ribosomal RNA, 484 nt
Filed under: uncultured bacterium
Lineage: Bacteria
Description: partial 16S ribosomal RNA
Rfam family: Bacterial small subunit ribosomal RNA
Source: RNAcentral